Molecule: ribosomal RNA, 487 nt
Filed under: uncultured bacterium
Lineage: Bacteria
Description: partial 16S ribosomal RNA
Rfam family: Bacterial small subunit ribosomal RNA
Source: RNAcentral
GAUGAACGCUAGCGAUAGGCUUAACACAUGCAAGUCGAGGGGCAGCACAAGGUAGCUUGCUCUCUGGGUGGCGACCGGCGCACGGGUGCGUAACGCGUAUGCAACUUGCCCUAUACAGGAGGAUAACCCGUCGAAAGACGGACUAAUACUGCGUAUGCUCACAACUUGGCAUCAAGUGGUGAGGAAAGAAAUUCGGUAUAGGAUAGGCAUGCGUCCCAUUAGCUUGUUGGUGAGGUAACGGCUCACCAAGGCAACGAUGGGUAGGGGAACUGAGAGGUUUAUCCCCCACACUGGUACUGAGACACGGACCAGACUCCUACGGGAGGCAGCAGUGAGGAAUAUUGGGCAAUGGGCGCGAGCCUGAACCAGCCAAGUCGCGUGAAGGAUGACUGUCUUAUGGAUUGUAAACUUCUUUUAUACGGGAAUAACAAGAGUCACGGGUGACUCCCUGCAUGUACCGUAUGAAUAAGCAUCGGCUAACUCCGUG